RNAcentral lists this transfer RNA (72 nucleotides) under Camelus bactrianus (Bactrian camel). It matches the Rfam family "tRNA". Rfam says of the family: Transfer RNA (tRNA) molecules are approximately 80 nucleotides in length. Their secondary structure includes four short double-helical elements and three loops (D, anti-codon, and T loops). RNAcentral also lists the same sequence under 2 other names. Lineage: Eukaryota; Metazoa; Chordata; Mammalia; Artiodactyla; Camelidae. The record is from Rfam by way of RNAcentral.
GAGGGUAUGGCUCAGUGCUUGAGUGUGUGCUUAGCAUGCAUGAGGUCCUGGGUGCAAUCCCCACUACCUCCA